Long non-coding RNA from Dermacentor albipictus, 1292 nucleotides. RefSeq lists it as uncharacterized. The record is from RefSeq and is a predicted model, not a curated record. NCBI's taxonomy places the organism in Eukaryota, Metazoa, Arthropoda, Arachnida, Ixodida, Ixodidae.
GGUAGCGGCAUGGCGAACGGCUGUCUGAACUUUGCUUGCUUCAUCUUGCAGCGUUUUACAGUGCCCAGACCGGAGACGGCGUCAGCCAUUUGCGCACGCCGGCGUAACUGUCUGAGUCCAUGGGGCAGCGUGCCCGCUUCGUUGAAAGCCUUCCAGAUGGCGCUCGCCACCGCCGCUUCGAGGCCUCUGUGAGAGGCCGAGUUUCUACCAGAAAGCCCGCCUUCGUGCAUGGCGUUCUCCGUGAGCGUUUCCCGGCAACCGAAGAAAAACAGUUUCGCCUACAGAUGUGCAUCGAACGAAUGAUCGACGACGCUGCAGACAAACAGGAUGCAUGAGUAGGACAUAAGCAGUGGUUAUCGACCGACGACGAUGGCCUUGGUUUCCACUAUUGCCAACAUAUCUCGUCUCCUGAAGCGACGCAGAAAAAAUGCGCCAUGGGAUAAUAAGCGUUCCGUAAUUAUCGAGGCCGUCUGAGUGUUUCCUUGACAAACUGCGUGCAAGUCGGGGAGGUUCGGCGAUGGGUGGCAAUGGGCGUCGCCUCUCAACCACGCGUGCCGCAUGCUGCCAGGCCAGCGGGCAGCAAUACAUUCGAUGCUUGUAACAGAUCGUAAAUGUCGCGGCACGUUGCACAUUUUUAGAUCCUGCGUUCUUUCGUUGCAGCCCUCCGUGAGUAAAAAACCACAGCUGCUAUCUUCGUGCGUGGAAAUAAAUCUGUUGCAUAUUCUCGAUAGCUUGUGCAACUUUUCCAUUGCAGGUGUUGCGUGUAAAUCAAUACUCUAAAGCUUUGGUUUUCAAAAGUGUUUCCCAACACUGAAUUUGUUCGGCAGUGACACAAUUCGAUGAAUUGCUCAAGGUAAUUGAACAGUAUACUGAGUCAGUCGCAUUUGCGCAUCGCACACGUGACUUGUCGGUGGGCGUGGCAGGUGUUCGCUCCAGGCACUCCGCACGAGCGCGUGCAGUGUCGACCGGACCCCGGAGAGCGUGAACCCUCGAUGAGCGCCCGUUGUGUGCCGUGUUCGUGAAAUCGCCAUGACAGUCUGCUCGCAACAUUCUUGAAGCGAUGAUUUAAACUUUGAAGUAGUUGAUUUAUUGAGAUGAAAUUUAAGUAAACGUUGACAACAGAUCUAUUGCCGGCUUCCCCAGAAACAAUGAUAUUUCCAGUGAUCGAAGUAUGAGAACAUGACUCGAUGUGAAAAAAACGUUCUGAAAUGAUUGCCAUGUAUCCAGCCAGUCGGCCGUAGACAAAAUACUAGCUCCAAGACAUGGUGAAAGAUUACACUUUCUUUCCUCUC